Molecule: long non-coding RNA, 432 nt
Filed under: Gallus gallus (chicken)
Lineage: Eukaryota; Metazoa; Chordata; Aves; Galliformes; Phasianidae
Source: RNAcentral
CUGGAGUCUGAUGAAAAUAUGACAUCCAAGUCAUCAUCUUCAACAUAAUAUUUAGCUUUUUUGGCCCAUCCAAUUUUCCGAAAGCGACGUUCACUAGUUUUAACCUGGCAGAUAUUUGCUUCAGAACACUCUGGGAAACUCGAGUUUGUGAUACCAGAAAGUUGUAUUUCAUAUACAUAUUGAUCUCCGUUUGUUCGUAUGUCACCAGAAGCCAUGUACAACUUGUUAUAAACAUCCCCUAAUGAGAAGUUUUUCCCAGUUGCAGGAUUAAUAACUGUUCCAUUCACUACCUCUACCUCCUGUGGCUUCACAGCACAAGCUGCACGUGUGUCCCAGAUGAUAAAGUAAGCACAGUUUUCCUCAUCAAACCUCUGCAGCAUGGGCAUGCCAACUGUUUUUGCGCACCUCAAUUCUAUAAUUGUCAUUAUUUUC